Molecule: long non-coding RNA, 5381 nt
Organism: Zingiber officinale
Lineage: Eukaryota; Viridiplantae; Streptophyta; Magnoliopsida; Zingiberales; Zingiberaceae
Exons: 3
Source: RefSeq, a predicted model, not a curated record
UUGGUUUUCUUCUCUUUCGUUUCUUUGUAUUUUCCGCUGUGCUAACUCGAUUUGUAGAAAGAAAGCGAAUUUGGGGUCGGCUAUUCACACCCCCCCUCUCUAGCCAAGUACGAAGGAUCCUAACAAAUUGUUGUAUUAAAAGCUGAUGCUCCAUAGUAGAUGCCUUUAUUUAUUAUUCUUCUUUCUCUUUAGUUAAUUUACUUGCACUUCGACAAGAAAUUUCAAGUAAGGGAAGAUUUAGGGAUGCAUGUGAUGGUGAAGGAACUAACGAUGUUGGAGGCUCAGGCUCUUGAUCGAACUGGGCUGGACAGUACAUUCCCAAGGACCUUACAAUUCCGCUUUAAGAAUGAAUAAACAGUGAUUAUGAUCAAGAAGGAAUAAAGUAGUAUCGACUAUAGCUGUUAUAAGAUGGUUGUCAAAGUUUACUAACUUUUCUUUCUUUCAUGGUACCUGUAAUGGAUUUGAGUGUAGGAGUAUGGUUUGUUAAUUGCAGACAAUAUUUCUUAUUUUUAUUGGAUAUGUAAAAAAAAAAAAAUUGGGUCGUUUCAGUUGGUAUCAGAGCCAAGGUCUUGUAAGGGAUGUGUACUGCCAGUUCUGGGAGGUUCACGAGCCAAGCCUCAACUCUGUAUGUCGCCAAGACGAGUCUAUCAAAGGCGUAGGGAGAAUGGUCGUGAUGGGGGAGAAACUGAGGAGGAGAGACAUGCAGCGCCCGAUCCCCCAUGCCCGCUACCAGAUGCUACUACUCGUAUACUGGAAGGAAUGGCUCGACUCUUGGAGCAACAUACCGGUAAUGCCCAUAUGGGGCGACAGGAAGAUGUGUACGUGCAGUUUAGGAGGAUGGACCCUAAGGAUUUCGUUGGCACUACCGAUCCCUUUGUAGCUAAGGGGGUGGAUCCGAUCCUUGGAGGUGAUAUUCCGAUACAUGGAUAUGGCUGAGAAAGACAGAGUCCGAUGUGCUAUAUAUCUGCUGAAGGAUGAUGCUUCUCUAUGGUGGGAGGGAGCUGAAAAGGGGGUUAAUUAGGAUACGCUGACCUGGGAGGAGUUCAAGAGGAUCUUCUAUGAAAAGUACUUCACUGAUGACGUGAGAUCGAGGUUGAAGAGGGAGUUUAUGAGUCUCCGACAGGGAGACCUGUCUGUUGCUGAGUUUGUCAAAAAGUUUGAUAGAGGAUGUCAUUUUGUGCCCUUAAUCGCAAAUGAUGCUAAAGAAAUAUUGAGGCACUUUUUGGAUGGUCUCAGGCCCAUCCGUCGGGACGUUCUGCUAGCUGAUCCAACUGAAUAUAAUGAUGUUGUCACUAGAGCUUAUAGAGCUGAGCAAUCUUUAAAGGAUAUCGAAUGGGAGGUGUAGAGGAAGAGACCCCCUCCACAGCAGCAACAACAACAGAAUAAGAAGUUAUACACCGGACCUCAGAAAGGACAGGGACGAUUGAAGCCUCAAGGGAGCACAAAGCAACAACCACAGGGAGCAGCUACCUCAAAGACAGAGGAAAAACCAUCGUGCAGGGAGUGUAAUCGCCAACACUACGGUCAAUGUCUGUGGGGUACCUACAAGUGCUUCAAAUGCGGAGGGGAUGAGCACAAAGCUAAGGAAUGUCCGAAACUGCAAGAACCGGUGACAAGACGGGUCUUUGUGAUGCAUGCCAAGGAAGCAGAGCCAGACACUAUGCUUGUCAUAGGUAACCUGACUAAUUUCAUGUACUUAUUGCCUAGCGUGUAAAUGUUAAGCAUGAGUGAUUAGAAUUGCAUGUCUCGUGAGAAGAGAUAUAGGGUACCAAACAUAAAUGGAAGUAUUCGAAACUUUUAAAAGGGGUAAUGGGUUUUCGGGAAUUGUAAGCUUAAAUGGAUAUAAUGGUAUGGUUGCUAUAGGUAGGAUAUCUAUCGCGGGUGUAACUACAUAUGCCUUGCUAGAUUUGGGAGCUACACACUCAUUUAUAUCGAAGACCUUCGAAAAUCGACUGGGGAUCUUACCGAGGGACAUGGGGAAUGGAUUCAGAGUCACCGGACCCUCCGACGAGCAGAUGUUUUCCACCAGGAUGGUAAUGGACACGGAGCUUAUACUAUAGAAGCAUGUGGUUCAGGCGGACCGCAUAGUGUUGCCAAUGCCGGAGUUCAAUAUUAUUCUGGGAAUGGAUUAGUUAUCGCAGAAUGGAGCUUCAAUCGACUUCCGACAAAGGUCAGUAUCCGUUCGACCACCCCACAACGAGUCGUUCAUUUUUGAGGCAGCCAGGAAUAGACAGAGGCCGCACCUCAUUUCUUGCAUCAGUGCGAGGAAGCUUAUGAGGAGGGGCUGCCAAGGAUUUCUAGCCAAUGUUGUUUCGAUGCCAGAUGCAGUUAACCAAAAGGUGGAGGACGUCGAAGUCGUGCGAGAAUUUCCUAGCAUAUUUCCUAAGGAUGUCUCUGGCAUUCCUCCGGAAAGGGAGGUGGAAUUUUCCAUCAAGCUGAUGUCGGGUACGGUGCCAAUCUCUAAGGCACCGUAUCGUCUCGCUUCGACAAUGUUGUUUCGAUGCCAGAUGCAGUUAACCAAAAGGUGGAGGACGUCGAAGUCGUGCGAGAAUUUCCUAGCAUAUUUCCUGAGGAUGUCUCUGGCAUUCCUCCGGAAAGGGAGGGGGAAUUUUCCAUCAAGCUGAUGUCGGGUACGGUGUGAAUCUCUAAGGCACCGUAUCGUCUCGCUUCGGCAGAAAUGAAAGAUCUAAAGGAGAAGAUUCAAGAACUACUAGAUAAAGGAUUCAUUCGCCUAAGCUUUUCGCCAUGGGGCACACCGGUACUAUUCGUGAAGAAAAAAGAUGAAAGUAUGAGGCUCUGUAUCGAUUAUCAAGAAUUGAAUAGAGUGACAGUGAAGAACAAGUAUCCUUUGCCCAGGAUCGAAGAUUUAUUUGAUCAGUUGCAAGGGCGUCGGUAUUCUCGAAGAUAGAUCUCCGAUCAGGAUAUCAUCAGCUGAGCGUAAAGGAAACUGACGUACAUAAGACAGCUUUCAGGACUCGAUAUGGACAUUAUGAGUUUAGGGUGAUGCCAUUCGGAGUGACAAAUGCCCCGACAAUCUUCAUGGAUCUCAUGAAUCACGUGUUUUAGCCAUAUCUUGAUCCGUUCAUUAUUGUAUUCAUAGAUGACAUUUUGAUUUAUUCGAGGAGCAGGGAGAAGCAUAGUCAACACUUGAGGACAACUUUGCAGAUAUUGCAAGACCGAAAACUGUUUGCAAAGUUUAGCAAGUGCGAGUUCUGGUUAGAGAAGGUGGCAUUCCUAUGUCACAUUAUCUCAAAGGAUGGGGUGAAAGUAGAUCCUACUAAAGUUGAGGCAGUCAAAGGAUGGUCAGUGCCUAAAAAUAUAAUUGAGAUACGUAGUUUCCUUGGGUUGGCGCGCUACUAUCGAAAAUUCAUCAAGGGCUUUUCUUCCAUUGCAGUGCCCUUGACUGCUCUGAUGAAGAAGAAUGCCAAGUUUACAUGGGGAGCUGAUUGUCAAGACAGUUUUGAGCGGUUGAAACAAGCACUUACCAUGGCGCCAGUUUUAUCCAUGCCAUCAGGACAGGGAGAAUAUGUGUUAUAUACGAAUGCUUCAAAGCUAGGUUUGGGAGCGGUUCCUAUGCAGCGCAAUCAAGUCAUUGCAUAUGCAUCCCGACAAUUAAAAGUGCAUGAAAAGAUUAUCCGACCCAUGAUCUCGAACUAGCAUUGGUGGUGUUUGCUCUGAAGAUUUGGAGACACUACUUGUAUGGGAAAAGUGCAAAAUCUUUACUGAUCACAAAAGCCUAAAGUAUUUCUUUACCCAGAAAGAGUUGAAUAUGAGACAGAGAAGAUGGCUAGAGCUUGUAAAGGACUACGAUUGUGAUAUUAGCUACCACCCCGGAAAAGCUAAUGUGGUUGCUGAUGCUUUGAGUAGGAAAAUGGUAGUCAUUGCACAACUAUCAAUACAGAGACCUCUGUAGAUAGAAAUUCAGGGAUUUAAUUUCGAGAUGUAUGUUAGAGGUCAGGCUCCUAGCUUAACUACUAUGUUAGAAAUUCAGGGAUUUUGACUGAUGCCCAUAAUACUCCAUAUUCUGUACAUCCAGGGAGUACGAAGAUGUACAAGAACCUGUAGUUACAUUAUUGGUGGCCAGGUAUGAAACGUGACAUUGCGCGUUUUGUUUCUGAAUGCUUAACUUGUCAACAGGUCAAAGAAGAACAUUAGAGGCCAGCAGGGAUGCUUAAACCACUUCCAAUUCCGGAGUGGAAAUAGGAGAAUAUCACCAUGGAUUUUGUUGUGGGCUUGCCAAAGACGGUGAAAGACUUUAAUGCCAUAUGGGUAAUAGUUGAUCGCCUCACUGAGUCAGCGCACUUCCUACCAGUGAAGACGACCUUCUCCGUGACUCAGUAUGCAGAGUUGUACAUUUGGGAGAUAGUCAGAUUGCAUGGGAUUCCCGUCUCCACAGUAUCAGACAGAGAUCCAAGGUUUACCUCGACUUUCUGGAAAGGUUUGCAUUCGGCUUUGGGAACUAAACUACUAUUUAAUACAACAUUUCAUCCCCAGAUAGAUGGUCAGUCGAAAAGGAUGAUACAUAUUUUGGAAGACUUAUUACGAGCGUGUGUGAUUAAUUUCCAAGGAAGUUGGGAACAGAAGCUACCACUUGUGGAGUUCACCUAUAACAACAGCUAUCAAUCAUCCAUAGGCAUGACUCCUUAUGAGGCACUUUAUGGAAGGAAAUGCAGAUCCCCUAUCCAUUGGGAUGAAGUGGGAGAAAGGGCAGAGGUGGGCCCAUAAAUCGUGAGGCAUACGGCAGACCUAGUUGCUAGAAUCCGGGACAGAAUGAAAACUGCUCAAAGUCGACAGAAGAGUUAUGUCGACAAAAGAAGAAGGGACUUAGUGUUUGCAGUUGGGGAUCACGUUUUUGUAAAAAUAGCACCGAUGAGGGGUGUUAUGAGAUUUGGCAAGAAAGGUAAACUCAGUCCGAGGUUCAUUGGGCCCUUGGAGAUCUUGGACAUGGUGGAGCAAUGGCUUACCGAGUGGCCUUGCCACAUAAUCUUGCAGGGGUGCAUAAUGUGUUCCACAUCUCGAUGUUGCGCAAGUACAUGUCGAAUCCCUCUCAUGUGUUGAAUUUCAAACCAUUACAACUUACCCCAAAUUUGUCCUAUGAGGAGAGACCCAUACAGAUACUGGACCAGCAAGAGAGGAAGCUGCGGAGUAGGAUGGUCAAGAUGGUCAAGGUUAAGUGGCUGAAUCAUGCUGACGAGGAAGCCACCUGGGAGACGAAAGCUGACAUGAGGGACCGCUACCCGAGGUUGAUUGGUAAGUUUUAAAUUUCGAGGAUGAAAUUCGUCUAGGGGGGGAGGAUUUGUAAGGUCCGAUUUUUCUUUUUUUAAACAAAAAAAAGGGGGGGAAUUCAAGGGGGGGAUGUUAAUAAACUUUUCUUGGGAAAA